AACAUCUAAGUACCCCGAGGAAAAGAAAUCAACCGAGAUUCCCCCAGUAGCGGCGAGCGAACGGGGAGCAGCCCAGAGCCUGAAUCAGUGUGUGUGUUAGUGGAAGCGUCUGGAAAGGCGCGCGAUACAGGGUGACAGCCCCGUACACAAAAAUGCACAUGCUGUGAGCUCGAUGAGUAGGGCGGGACACGUGGUAUCCUGUCUGAAUAUGGGGGGACCAUCCUCCAAGGCUAAAUACUCCUGACUGACCGAUAGUGAACCAGUACCGUGAGGGAAAGGCGAAAAGAACCCCGGCGAGGGGAGUGAAAAAGAACCUGAAACCGUGUACGUACAAGCAGUGGGAGCACGCUUAGGCGUGUGACUGCGUACCUUUUGUAUAAUGGGUCAGCGACUUAUAUUCUGUAGCAAGGUUAACCGAAUAGGGGAGCCGAAGGGAAACCGAGUCUUAACUGGGCGUUAAGUUGCAGGGUAUAGACCCGAAACCCGGUGAUCUAGCCAUGGGCAGGUUGAAGGUUGGGUAACACUAACUGGAGGACCGAACCGACUAAUGUUGAAAAAUUAGCGGAUGACUUGUGGCUGGGGGUGAAAGGCCAAUCAAACCGGGAGAUAGCUGGUUCUCCCCGAAAGCUAUUUAGGUAGCGCCUCGUGAAUUCAUCUCCGGGGGUAGAGCACUGUUUCGGCAAGGGGGUCAUCCCGACUUACCAACCCGAUGCAAACUGCGAAUACCGGAGAAUGUUAUCACGGGAGACACACGGCGGGUGCUAACGUCCGUCGUGAAGAGGGAAACAACCCAGACCGCCAGCUAAGGUCCCAAAGUCAUGGUUAAGUGGGAAACGAUGUGGGAAGGCCCAGACAGCCAGGAUGUUGGCUUAGAAGCAGCCAUCAUUUAAAGAAAGCGUAAUAGCUCACUGGUCGAGUCGGCCUGCGCGGAAGAUGUAACGGGGCUAAACCAUGCACCGAAGCUGCGGCAGCGACGCUGAUGCGUUGUUGGGUAGGGGAGCGUUCUGUAAGCCUGCGAAGGUGUGCUGUGAGGCAUGCUGGAGGUAUCAGAAGUGCGAAUGCUGACAUAAGUAACGAUAAAGCGGGUGAAAAGCCCGCUCGCCGGAAGACCAAGGGUUCCUGUCCAACGUUAAUCGGGGCAGGGUGAGUCGACCCCUAAGGCGAGGCCGAAAGGCGUAGUCGAUGGGAAACAGGUUAAUAUUCCUGUACUUGGUGUUACUGCGAAGGGGGGACGGAGAAGGCUAUGUUGGCCGGGCGACGGUUGUCCCGGUUUAAGCGUGUAGGCUGGUUUUCCAGGCAAAUCCGGAAAAUCAAGGCUGAGGCGUGAUGACGAGGCACUACGGUGCUGAAGCAACAAAUGCCCUGCUUCCAGGAAAAGCCUCUAAGCAUCAGGUAACAUCAAAUCGUACCCCAAACCGACACAGGUGGUCAGGUAGAGAAUACCAAGGCGCUUGAGAGAACUCGGGUGAAGGAACUAGGCAAAAUGGUGCCGUAACUUCGGGAGAAGGCACGCUGAUAUGUAGGUGAAGUCCCUCGCGGAUGGAGCUGAAAUCAGUCGAAGAUACCAGCUGGCUGCAACUGUUUAUUAAAAACACAGCACUGUGCAAACACGAAAGUGGACGUAUACGGUGUGACGCCUGCCCGGUGCCGGAAGGUUAAUUGAUGGGGUUAGCCGCAAGGCGAAGCUCUUGAUCGAAGCCCCGGUAAACGGCGGCCGUAACUAUAACGGUCCUAAGGUAGCGAAAUUCCUUGUCGGGUAAGUUCCGACCUGCACGAAUGGCGUAAUGAUGGCCAGGCUGUCUCCACCCGAGACUCAGUGAAAUUGAACUCGCUGUGAAGAUGCAGUGUACCCGCGGCAAGACGGAAAGACCCCGUGAACCUUUACUAUAGCUUGACACUGAACAUUGAGCCUUGAUGUGUAGGAUAGGUGGGAGGCUUAGAAGUGUGGACGCCAGUCUGCAUGGAGCCGACCUUGAAAUACCACCCUUUAAUGUUUGAUGUUCUAACGUUGACCCGUAAUCCGGGUUGCGGACAGUGUCUGGUGGGUAGUUUGACUGGGGCGGUCUCCUCCUAAAGAGUAACGGAGGAGCACGAAGGUUGGCUAAUCCUGGUCGGACAUCAGGAGGUUAGUGCAAUGGCAUAAGCCAGCUUGACUGCGAGCGUGACGGCGCGAGCAGGUGCGAAAGCAGGUCAUAGUGAUCCGGUGGUUCUGAAUGGAAGGGCCAUCGCUCAACGGAUAAAAGGUACUCCGGGGAUAACAGGCUGAUACCGCCCAAGAGUUCAUAUCGACGGCGGUGUUUGGCACCUCGAUGUCGGCUCAUCACAUCCUGGGGCUGAAGUAGGUCCCAAGGGUAUGGCUGUUCGCCAUUUAAAGUGGUACGCGAGCUGGGUUUAGAACGUCGUGAGACAGUUCGGUCCCUAUCUGCCGUGGGCGCUGGAGAACUGAGGGGGGCUGCUCCUAGUACGAGAGGACCGGAGUGGACGCAUCACUGGUGUUCGGGUUGUCAUGCCAAUGGCACUGCCCGGUAGCUAAAUGCGGAAGAGAUAAGUGCUGAAAGCAUCUAAGCACGAAACUUGCCCCGAGAUGAGUUCUCCCUGACUCCUUGAGAGUCCUGAAGGAACGUUGAAGACGACGACGUUGAUAGGCCGGGUGUGUAAGCGCAGCGAUGCGUUGAGCUAACCGGUACUAAUGAACCGUGAGGCUUAACCUU
Molecule: ribosomal RNA, 2711 nt
Filed under: Escherichia coli 1-110-08_S3_C3
Lineage: Bacteria; Pseudomonadati; Pseudomonadota; Gammaproteobacteria; Enterobacterales; Enterobacteriaceae
Description: bacterial LSU rRNA
Rfam family: Bacterial large subunit ribosomal RNA
Source: RNAcentral